Callithrix jacchus (white-tufted-ear marmoset) is the source of this 107-nucleotide small nucleolar RNA. The record is from Ensembl. Lineage: Eukaryota; Metazoa; Chordata; Mammalia; Primates; Cebidae.
AUAUUUUUUUUAAAAAUCACAGUAUCCUUGAUUGGAGUUUCAUGCUCAUGUGUGAGAUAUGCCGCCCUCAAAUCUUGUUAUGAUGUCAAUGCUUUAGCUGUCUGAUG